UACGAAGGGGGCUAGCGUUGCUCGGAAUCACUGGGCGUAAAGCGCACGUAGGCGGAUUGCUAAGUCAGGGGUGAAAUCCUGGAGCUCAACUCCAGAACUGCCCUUGAUACUGGCGGUCUCGAGUCCGGGAGAGGUGAGUGGAACUGCGAGUGUAGAGGUGAAAUUCGUAGAUAUUCGCAAGAACACCAGUGGCGAAGGCGGCUCACUGGCCCGGUACUGACGCUGAGGUGCGAAAGCGUGGGGAGCAAGCAGG
RNAcentral lists this ribosomal RNA (253 nucleotides) under uncultured bacterium. RNAcentral's name for it is "partial 16S ribosomal RNA". It matches the Rfam family "Bacterial small subunit ribosomal RNA", at positions 524 to 776 of the family's 1533-position model. The record is from RNAcentral.